UACGUAUGGUGCAAGCGUUAUCCGGAUUUACUGGGUGUAAAGGGAGCGUAGGCGGCGCGUUAAGUCUGAUGUGAAAACCCGAGGCUCAACCACGGGAGUGCAUUGGAAACUGGCGAGCUGGAGUGCCGGAGAGGUAAGCGGAAUUCCUAGUGUAGCGGUGAAAUGCGUAGAUAUCAGGAGGAACAUCGGUGGCGUAAGCGCUUUACUGGGCCGUAAUUGACGCUGAGGAACGAAAGCCAGGGUAGCAAAUGGG
RNAcentral lists this ribosomal RNA (253 nucleotides) under uncultured Eubacteriales bacterium. RNAcentral describes it as "uncultured Clostridiales bacterium partial 16S ribosomal RNA". It matches the Rfam family "Bacterial small subunit ribosomal RNA", at positions 524 to 776 of the family's 1533-position model. Lineage: Bacteria; Bacillati; Bacillota; Clostridia; Eubacteriales. The record is from RNAcentral.